Molecule: long non-coding RNA, 2673 nt
Filed under: Canis lupus familiaris (dog)
Lineage: Eukaryota; Metazoa; Chordata; Mammalia; Carnivora; Canidae
Description: lncRNA (ENSCAFG00030006720.1)
Source: RNAcentral
CAUCCUUUACUUUUGACAGAAGGAGUGUUUAUUGGUAAUUGCUCACUAAUGAUUUGAUUAUAGUCUCCUUUUGAAGACGAUCCACUUGAUUGCCACACUCAAAGCAGUUCUCCCAGCAAUCAGCAAAGAAUUCUGCUGGCUUUCCCCCCAUCGCAGGCAUGAAUAAUCAUCAUGACGCUUCUGCACUGCCCUCUAAGGGCUGCAUGUCUGAGCUACAAGCCAGAAGUCCUGUUGGGAAAGCGUGCUUUCUAGAGCUAAGGCAGAAUUUCUCCAACAGUUCACUCCGUGAGUAACAAACUGUAGUGGGCAUGGGUCUCCCCAAUAACAAAAUAUCUUGCUGUGAACUGUUUACUACAAUAACUGUUAUGAACAACAGUAGAAAAACCAAAAACAUAAAAAAGGAAAUAGAAAGUUGGGAGAAUAAGGAGGGGCAGGAUGUUACAGAGGAAUUAACAGAUGAGAGAAUGAAAAUACAUAAGCCUAGUUGAAGCAAGGGAAGACAUAAGGGAACAUCAGAGCUGACAAGUCAAGGAUAGCUGUUGUGACAUCAGCAUCAAAAUGGUGAGCUUUGUCACUAGCAUUUGUUACUGUUUGCGGGGCCAAACCAGCAGGGGUUUGUUCCCACCACUUCUAUAUUGAACCAUAGCUUCUGAGGGAAUGGCUCUAAGGUGGGAAAGUCCCUAAAUCCCAGGAAUACAGUAGAGCUUAGCUAUCCCUUUAUGAAAUGUCUUAUUACCUUAAGGAAAAAAAAAUAACUUUAAGGUUUGAAAAGUGUUAACUAGUAAGAAUGGUAAUAAAAUUUAAACAUUGGUAAAUCUAUCUUAGCCUUUUCUUAAACAUAGGCAUAUAUAAUACAUACAUACAUAUAUAUAUCACAUUAUGUGAUUCAAUAUUAUUUUGUAACAAAAAAUAGAACUUCUUAAGUUCCUGCAAUGAGAACUCUAGUGAUAUGUUUGCGAUGCCCAUUUUGAAAGCCCAUAAAAGAAAGAUGUAAGAUGUAAUUUCUUUACUCUUCUUCAAACAAGCAAAGAGAUCUUGCUUGGGAGUAAAAUAAAUGUAAAAAAUAUCAUAUAUCUCACUUGCAAUUAAAGAUUCUAUUUUCCUAGUUUAAGGAACAAAAGACUAAAACUCUGGGUAAAAUAUUCAUUAACCCAACCAGAAGCUUUAUUACUUCAACGUGAUGUUUUAAAAAAUUCUCUAUCUACACGGGGCUUUUAACUUUUUCUUCCUUCAGGCAGAGAUUUGGGAAUCUAAAUGGAGCAUUAAUUCAGCUUAUCUCAAAUGACACCAUUAAUAUUUCACUGAAAUUUUUAAAUUAAGGGACAAUUUAAAUUUUCUAGUGCAUAUACUUUCAAUUUAUAUUCAUCACUAUUUGUCAGAACAAAGUUUUAAAAACUUGAUUUAGUGAUCUGUGUAUAUAUUUUUCCCCAUAUUACAAAAAUUUCAUACAUAAAAAUUGUUCAGUGAAUACCCACAUGACCACAAGAGUCUACAAUUAACACUUGGCUGUAUUUGCUUUAUCACUUACCUAUCCUCUAUCAAACCAUGAAUCCACCUUUUUAACUAAUUAAAUUGCAGAUAAUUAUAUUCUUCACUCCUUUUUAAAUAGGGUUCAGUAUUUGUUUAUAGUGCUUUAGUUUUUGAGGCAAAUUUUAUAUAAAGUAAAAUGCAGAGACCCUAAAAGUACUAUUUGAUGAGCUGUGAGAAAUGCACACACUUGUACAACGGGCUGAAUGUUUGAUUUCCCCAAACACAUUCACUUGUUGAAAUACUACUGUGAUGGAGGUGGGGCCUUUGGGAAGUAAUUAGGUAAUGAGGGUGAUGCUCAAUGAUGGCAUUAGUACUCACGUAAGGGGAAGGACUAGCACAAAGAGAGGACAAACGUCUCUAAGGAAGAAAGAGGCCCUUUCCCAGGAACCUGACCAUGCUGGCACCCUGAUCCGGGACUUCUAGUCCUCCAGAACUGUGAGAAAUAAAUGUUUAUGGUUUAAGCCAUCCAGUCUAUGGUAUUUUGUUAUGCAGGCUCAACUAAGACGUUGUGUAACCCUAACCCUUGUCCAGUUGUAAUUUUUCACCUGAAUUUCCUUAUCCUUCUCAACCCCUACUUCCAAACACUGUUUUCACCAUACAUUAAUUUUACCUUGCCUAGAACUUCUUAAACGCAGAAUUGUAUGCACUCUUUCUCAGAGAUGUCUUUCACUAGCCAUGUUUUUGUUGUUCAUCAGUAUUGUUGCAGUAUACCUAUCUUUUCUCUCUUGAGUAGUAGUAUUUAAUUGUAGAAAUAUACUUUUUGUUUAACCAUCCUCAUUUUCCUUUUAAGUCUAGUUAACUUACAGUGUUAGAUUAGUUUCGGGUUUACAGUAUAGUAAUUCAACAUGCGUACACAUCAUCCUAUCUAUUUUUCUUUUGAUGGGUCCCUGAAUCACUUUCAUUUUUUUGACUACUAAAAAUAAACCUGCUUUAUUCUUGUAUGUUUUUAGGUGAAUAUAUUUUCUUUCUUUUUUUUAAUAUCUUAUUUAUUUGUUCAUGAGAGAGAGAGAGAGGCAGAGACAUAGGCAGAGGGAGGAGAAGCAGAUUCCAUGUAAGGAAGCCCGAUGUGGGACUCGAUCCUGGGAAUCUCGGAUCAGGCCCUGAGCCAAAGGCAGAUGCUCAACUGCUGAGCCACUCAGGCGU